GACGAACGCUGGCGGCGCGCUUAACACAUGCAAGUCGAACGGAAAGGCCUGCUUUCCCUUGUGGAUUGCGGGUACUCGAGUGGCGAACGGGUGAGUAACACGUGAGUGAUCUGCCCCCAACUUGGGUAUAAGCCUGGGAAACUGGGUCUAAUUCCCGAUAGGACUGCAGGGUGGUGCCUGUGGUGGAAAACGAUUUUCUAGUGGUUGGGGAUGAGCUCGCGGCCUAUCAGCUUGUUGGUGGGGUAAUGGCCUACCAAGGCGGCGACGGGUAGCCUGCCUGAGAGGGUGGACGGCCACAGUGGGACUGAGAUACGGCCCAGACUCCUACGGGAGGCAGCAGUGGGGAAUAUUGCACAAUGGGCGGAAGCCUGAUGCAGCGACGCCGCGUGGGGGAUGACGGCCUUCGGGUUGUAAACUCCUUUCGACCGCGAGGAAGCCACCUGGUUGGAAGGGUGGUGACGGUAGUGGUAGAAGAAGCACCGGCUAACUACGUG
Molecule: ribosomal RNA, 494 nt
Filed under: uncultured bacterium
Lineage: Bacteria
Description: partial 16S ribosomal RNA
Rfam family: Bacterial small subunit ribosomal RNA
Source: RNAcentral